UACGUAGGGGGCAAGCGUUGUCCGGAAUCAUUGGGCGUAAAGCGCGUGUAGGCGGCCCGGCAAGUCCGCUGUGAAAGUCGGGGGCUCAACCCUCGGAUGCCGGUGGAUACUGUCGGGCUCGAGUACGGAAGAGGCGAGUGGAAUUCCUGGUGUAGCGGUGAAAUGCGCAGAUAUCAGGAGGAACACCGAUUGCGAAGGCAGCUCGCUGGGACGUUACUGACGCUGAGACGCGAAAGCGUGGGGAGCAAACAGG
This 253-nucleotide ribosomal RNA is filed under the name uncultured bacterium. RNAcentral's name for it is "partial 16S ribosomal RNA". It matches the Rfam family "Bacterial small subunit ribosomal RNA", at positions 524 to 776 of the family's 1533-position model. The record is from RNAcentral.